This 757-nucleotide long non-coding RNA is filed under the name Homo sapiens (human). RNAcentral's name for it is "HSALNT0020429". The record is from RNAcentral. Lineage: Eukaryota; Metazoa; Chordata; Mammalia; Primates; Hominidae.
CGUGUUAUAGGCCACCCACAAGAUGUCCUCUCUCCCUAACCAUUGCCCUAGGGUUGAAAACAUUGGAUGACUACAAAAAAAAAAAAAAAAAGAGUUUUUCCCUUUGAAAAAUGUUCCCUGUGAGCCUGAGAGGUGAGGAGGAAGGCAUUUCUUCAGCUCCUUGAAGACAGCUCCAGGUGCCCACAGGGGACAGUCUCUGUCCUCAGGGCUAGGUCUCAGGGCCAUGCUGACUGCACACCGACCUGCUCCCUUCUUGAAGGCAGAGGCUGGAUUUUGAGCACUCCAGUUAGUGCAGGGACAGCACGGGACCCCUGUACCUCAGUGGCUGCACACUCCAAGGCCGAGUUUAUGAAGGAGGACCAGCAGUCAUCUACUUCCCCUGUCAAACACCAUUACAGACUUGCAAACGCCAGUCUCUAAAGUUGGCUCUCUAGGCUGGAUCUGUUCAAGUAAGCUGCAUCAGCCAGUCAGUCACAGAGGAAUUGGCCCCUCCACCCCCAAAAGACCCCUAAACCAAAGCCUGGGUGGCAGAGCAGUUGCCACCAUCAAGCCAAGCUUGGACAUCUAGGCUGAACUAUGAAGGGUACACCGUUGAGAUAGACAGUCCCUGGCCUUGUAGCCAAAGUGUCCAGUGUUCUGUUGUGUGGGCAUCUAGGGGAGUCCUAAGGGAUCAGCUGCCCAGCAGCCUUUUUCUAGAAAUACAGGCACAUCCACAUGGAUACAACAAGAUCUCCAGGAGCCACGUGUCCUUCCUGUC